UUACUAGUGUCAUACGAGACUGCCGGUAAAAGCCGGAGGAAGGUGAGGAUGAUGUCAAGUCAGCAUGACCUUUAUAUCCAGGGCUACACACACGCUACAAUGGUCUGUACAAUGGGUAGCCAAGCCGCGAGGCGGAGCCAAUCCUGAAAGCAGGCCUCAGUUCAGAUUGCAGUCUGCAACUCGACUGCAUGAAGCCGGAGUUGCUAGUAACCGCAGGUCAGCAAUACUGCGGUGAAUACGUUCCCGGGUCUU
Molecule: ribosomal RNA, 252 nt
Filed under: uncultured Anaerolineaceae bacterium
Lineage: Bacteria; Bacillati; Chloroflexota; Anaerolineae; Anaerolineales; Anaerolineaceae
Description: partial 16S ribosomal RNA
Rfam family: Bacterial small subunit ribosomal RNA
Source: RNAcentral